UGUAAAUUAUCACAUUGAAAAUGUUCGGUUUUAGUUAAAACGUUGCAUAAUCAGUAUUUCUUAUGUGUCAUUUCCUUGAUGUUACGCUGGCAGAGUCAGCAUUUUUUUUUCAUUUUUAGGUUAUAUAAGUGAUAGGUUAUAGGUUACAACCAUAUAAAUCGAAUGCAAAAGGCACCUCACUACAAUCAGUUUUGAGACGCAGUUCUCACAUCACAUCGCAGAGGCAGAUAACUCAAACCAUGCACUUCGGACGUUUCAUUUUCGUCCUUCUUCUGGCUAUGGCUCUCAUCCUCGGAGCUGCCAAGGCUUUGCCUGUGGAAAACAACUCAAAUGUGGACACCUCGGAAGAACUUCCUUCGCGCAAGCAUUAUAUUUGUGCUCUUCGACGCGUGAAGCUCUGCCCUGAUGGACGAAUACCAAUACGCGGGAGAUGUGGUCGAGACCGCCGAGGGAGAACUCAGAUAAAUACAGAGACGAAAGCAGAGACUACGGACAAGUAUACAAAAAUAUGUGAAUGCAGCUGGCAGUAACCCAUAUAAAGAAGCAAAUUCCUUUGGAUAGACGGGAUAGAGGCACACAUAAUAUUUGAUUUCUGUAUUUAAUGGACAUAUUAAAUACGUGUGUAUUUUCAAGA
Molecule: long non-coding RNA, 634 nt
Organism: Cloeon dipterum
Lineage: Eukaryota; Metazoa; Arthropoda; Insecta; Ephemeroptera; Baetidae
Exons: 2
Source: RefSeq, a predicted model, not a curated record